GAUGAACGCUGGCGGCGUGCCUAAUACAUGCCAGUCGAGCGAACGGACGAGAAGCUUGCUUCUCUGAUGUUAGCGGCGGACGGGUGAGUAACACGUGGAUAACCUACCUAUAAGACUGGGAUAACUUCGGGAAACCGGAGCUAAUACCGGAUAAUAUUUUGAACCGCAUGGUUCAAAAGUGAAAGACGGUCUUGCUGUCACUUAUAGAUGGAUCCGCGCUGCAUUAGCUAGUUGGUAAGGUAACGGCUUACCAAGGCAACGAUGCAUAGCCGACCUGAGAGGGUGAUCGGCCACACUGGAACUGAGCCACGGUCCAGACUCCUACGGGAGGCAGCAGUAGGGAAUCUUCCGCAAUGGGCGAAAGCAUGACGCAGCAACGCCGCGUGAGUGAUGAAGGUCUUCGGAUCGUAAAACUCUGUUAUUAGGGAAGAACAUAUGUGUAAGUAACUGUGCACAUCUUGACGGUACCUAAUCAGAAAGCCACGGCUAACUACGUG
RNAcentral lists this ribosomal RNA (497 nucleotides) under uncultured bacterium. Its description in RNAcentral is "partial 16S ribosomal RNA". It matches the Rfam family "Bacterial small subunit ribosomal RNA", at positions 28 to 507 of the family's 1533-position model. The record is from RNAcentral.